GACGAACGCUGGCGGCGUGCUUAACACAUGCAAGUCGAACGGAAAGGCCCUGCUUUUGUGGGGUGCUCGAGUGGCGAACGGGUGAGUAACACGUGAGUAACCUGCCCUUGACUUUGGGAUAACUUCAGGAAACUGGGGCUAAUACCGGAUAGGAGCUCCUGCUGCAUGGUGGGGGUUGGAAAGUUUCGGCGGUUGGGGAUGGACUCGCGGCUUAUCAGCUUGUUGGUGGGGUAGUGGCUUACCAAGGCUUUGACGGGUAGCCGGCCUGAGAGGGUGACCGGCCACAUUGGGACUGAGAUACGGCCCAGACUCCUACGGGAGGCAGCAGUGGGGAAUAUUGCACAAUGGGCGGAAGCCUGAUGCAGCAACGCCGCGUGCGGGAUGACGGCCUUCGGGUUGUAAACCGCUUUCGCCUGUGACGAAGCGUGAGUGACGGUAAUGGGUAAAGAAGCACCGGCUAACUACGUGCCAGCAGCCGCGGUGAUACGUAGGGUGCGAGCGUUGUCCGGAUUUAUUGGGCGUAAAGGGCUCGUAGGUGGUUGAUCGCGUCGGAAGUGUAAUCUUGGGGCUUAACCCUGAGCGUGCUUUCGAUACGGGUUGACUUGAGGAAGGUAGGGGAGAAUGGAAUUCCUGGUGGAGCGGUGGAAUGCGCAGAUAUCAGGAGGAACACCAGUGGCGAAGGCGGUUCUCUGGGCCUUUCCUGACGCUGAGGAGCGAAAGCGUGGGGAGCGAACAGGCUUAGAUACCUUGGUAGUCCACGCUGUAAACGGUGGGUACUAGGUGUGGGGUCCAUUCCACGGGUUCCGUGCCGUAGCUAACGCUUUAAGUACCCCGCCUGGGGAGUACGGCCGCAAGGCUAAAACUCAAAGGAAUUGACGGGGCCCCGCACAAGCGGCGGAGCAUGCGGAUUAAUUCGAUGCAACGCGUAGAACCUUACCUGGGUUUGACAUGGAUCGGGAGUGCUCAGAGAUGGGUGUGCCUCUUUUGGGGUCGGUUCACAGGUGGUGCAUGGCUGUCGUCAGCUCGUGUCGUGAGAUGUUGGGUUAAGUCCCGCAACGAGCGCAACCCUUGUUCACUGUUGCCAGCACGUUAUGGUGGGGACUCAGUGGAGACCGCCGGGGUCAACUCGGAGGAAGGUGGGGAUGACGUCAAGUCAUCAUGCCCCUUAUGUCCAGGGCUUCACGCAUGCUACAAUGGCUGGUACAGAGAGUGGCGAGCCUGUGAGGGUGAGCGAAUCUCGGAAAGCCGGUCUCAGUUCGGAUUGGGGUCUGCAACUCGACCUCAUGAAGUCGGAGUCGCUAGUAAUCGCAGAUCAGCAACGCUGCGGUGAAUACGUUCCCGGGGCU
Molecule: ribosomal RNA, 1346 nt
Filed under: uncultured bacterium
Lineage: Bacteria
Description: partial 16S ribosomal RNA
Rfam family: Bacterial small subunit ribosomal RNA
Source: RNAcentral